AAGGGUAUAGCUCAGUGGUGGAGUGUGUGCUUAGCGUGCACGAGGUCCUGGGUUCAAUCCCCAGUCCCUCCA
This 72-nucleotide transfer RNA is filed under the name Camelus bactrianus (Bactrian camel). It matches the Rfam family "tRNA". From Rfam's summary of the family: Transfer RNA (tRNA) molecules are approximately 80 nucleotides in length. Their secondary structure includes four short double-helical elements and three loops (D, anti-codon, and T loops). RNAcentral also lists the same sequence under 2 other names. Lineage: Eukaryota; Metazoa; Chordata; Mammalia; Artiodactyla; Camelidae. The record is from Rfam by way of RNAcentral.